AGCAGCCGCGGUAAUUCCAGCUCCAAUAGCGUAUAUUAAAGUUGUUGCAGUUAAAAAGCUCGUAGUUGAACUUCAGGCCUGUCCAGAUGGUCCGCCUUAAUUGGUGUGUACUGUCCUUGGGUGGGUCCUACCUUCUGGCGAAGCGGCAUGGCCUUAAUUGGUUGUGUUGGGGAACCAGGACUUUUACUGUGAAAAAAUUAGAGUGUUCAAAGCAGGCAAAUAUGCUCGAAUACAUUAGCAUGGAAUAAUGGAAUAGGACGAUGGUUCUAUUUUGUUGGUUCUAGGACCGUUGUAAUGAUUAAUAGGGAUAGUUGGGGGCAUUAGUAUUCAAUUGUCAGAGGUGAAAUUCUUGGAUUUAUUGAAGACUAACUACUGCGAAAGCAUUUGCCAAGGAUGUUUUCAUUAAUCAAGAACGAAAGUUAGGGGAUCGAAGACGAUCAGAUACCGUCG
RNAcentral lists this ribosomal RNA (450 nucleotides) under uncultured Glomeromycotina. RNAcentral's name for it is "bacterial SSU rRNA". It matches the Rfam family "Eukaryotic small subunit ribosomal RNA", at positions 569 to 1020 of the family's 1831-position model. The record is from RNAcentral. Lineage: Eukaryota; Fungi; Glomeromycota.